AACCUGGAAACCCUCUAGAUAAUGGUAAUUAGUUAUUGAACAUCUGCUAAAUACUGUGUUAAACACUUUAUAUGUUAACUUUUCCAAUAACCCUAUCAGGUAGGACUUCUAAUUUUUGAAUUUUAAAUGAUGAAGGUAAAGGUUAAUAGUUUAAAUAAAUUGUCCAAGAUUAUACAACUGGUGAGAUGUGGAACUGGGCUCUGGUGUCUGUGCUAUUGACCAAAACACCCCAUAACUUCUCCCAUGGAGAGAGCAGAGGCGUCAACGCUCUUAAACAGGUUACCAAGAGUGUUCUUGCCCAGCUUGCCCAUUUCACCCAGUCCGAGCCAAUGCUAUUGUCUUUGUUCUCUAUGUAAAUACCAACUUACUCUCCAGAGAGCCAGGGUUUAGCACAUGCUUCAUUUGGUGAGCACAAGCUAUUGCUAAUCUUCCUUUCUCUUUCCUUUUCUGCAUCCACUAUUUCUAGAAAGAGCUGGCCCACACUCUUUUCUGCAUGGCCGCAACCCAAAUGUGGCCUGAAAUAUUCCAAUCUGAGACUGAAGCACCUUCUCCUCUAGCACCCUUGUUUCAUUUAUAAUAUUUCUCAUGUGCUGAACUGAGAUGCUGGGUAAAUCCCAUCUGUUCUUCUAGCUCCUUGACACCUUUACUAUAGCAGAAAGGAAGAGAAUCGACGGGGCUGAGCCCUGAUCUGUCUCUCCCACUAGGUGAGGCCAGCUGGAGGAUGACAGAAAGAAGGUAUUUCAGGUGUUGAGAGAAAGCUCAGUGCAGCAGAGAGAAUAUGACACAGCUCCUGACAGGUCCUUGGAGCUGAGGCAUCUUAUUUAGUUGUAUUCACACCACAGGUGUUUUCCUAUGAGUAUGCAAAUAGCCAAGCAAGGCAGGUCAGCUUGGGAAGAGAAGUGCAGAGCUGUCCUCCAGGAAUGCUUUGUGCCCUGCACCCCACCCCACACCUCAUACCUGAGAUUCUGCAAUGGCUGUGAUGGUUCCUGACAUGGCCGAUACAACACUCCUGAGUCAGUUCAAAAUGGGUCGUAAAGCAGCAGAGCCAACUUGCAACAUCAACAACUCAUUUAGGCCAGGAGCUACUAAGAACAUACAUUGCAGUGGCAUUUUAAGAAGUUUUGUAAAACAGUUGAGAGUCUUCAAGCUGAGGAGCAUAGUGGCCUGCCAUCGGAAGUGGAUAGUAACCAGUUGGGAGCAGUCGUCGAGGCUGAUUCUCUUACAACUACAUAAGAAGUUGCCAAAGACCUCAGCGUCCACCAUUCUAUGGUCAUUCAACACUUAAAGCAAAUUGGAAAGGUGAAAAGGCUUGAUAAGUGGGUGUCUCAUGAGCUCAGUGAAAAUAAAAAAAUUACUGUUUUGAAGUGUGGUGUUCUCUUAUCGUACGUAGAAACAAUGGACCAUUUCUUGAUUGGAUUGUAACAGGUAAUGAAAAGUGUAUUUUAUGUGACAACUAGUAAUGACCAGCUCAGUGGCUGGACUGAUAAGAAGCUUCAAAGCCAAACCUGUAUCCAAAAAAGUUUACAGUCACUGUUUGGUGGUCAGCUGCUGGUCUGAUCCACUACAGCUUUCUAAAUCACAGUGAAACCAUUACAUCUGAGAGGUAGACUCAGCAAAUAUAUGAGAUACAUUGAAAAUUAUAGCACUUGCAACUGGCAUCAGUCAACAGAAAGGGCCCAAUUCUUCUCCAAAAACUCCUGACCACACAUUGCACAACCAAUGCUCCAAAAUUUAAAUGAGUUGGGCCAGGAGGUUUUGCCUCAUCCGCCAUAUUCGCCUGAUUUCUUGCCGGCCUACUACAACUUCUUCAAGCAUCUCAACAACUUUUGCAGGGAAAAUGCCUGCACAACCAGUGGGAUGCAGAAAAUGCUUUCCAAGAAUUAGUCAAAUCCUGAAGCAUAUAUUUUUAUAUGCUACAAGAAUAAACACUUAUUUCUCACUGGCAAAAAUGUGUUGAUUGUAAUGGUUCCUAUUUUGAUUAAUAAAGAUAUGUUUAAGCCUAGUUUUAAUGAUUUAAAAUUCAUGGUCCAAAACUGCAAUUACUUUUGCACCAAUCUACUUUGAAAAUGCUAAUAAAAAACUGAUGUGUUCAUGAAGAUUGCUAACCCAGAGUCAAGCAGAACAAGAAUUAAUUACAUGGGUCUGAACUGAUAGGCUGAAAUAAUAUCUUAUGACUUUUUGUUUGAAACAUUGCUGAUUAUUUUAAUAUUUUGUUUUCCAGAAUAAAGACAACUUUUUUUUUGAGCUAUUGAUCACUUACAGCAAUUGAGUAAAAUAUGUUUGUGAGUAAAAUUAAAACAUUUCUUCCUCUCUAUCUGAAUUCUCUAGAAUACAGAAACUAUUUAUUAGUAUUGCCAUUUUCUGGCAACAUAGUUAUUUGCAUAAGUUCAAUAAGAAUAGUGUUUUUUUUGUAAUCUGAAACAUCGAAACAUUCUUUCUUUUAUCAAUAUUUUGAAUGAAAUGGCUAAUUUUUAGAUAUGACCAAGCUGGUUUGAGGGAUCGAGGCUGACUUUAUAAAGCUAAUAGACUUGGAAAAAUGCUGGUCUGGUACUUGGUUGGUAUACAUGGUUCCCUUACACGGAUCCAGAUCUUGCAAUAUGCAAAGUUUCCUCAGAUAAAAAGUUUCUUUUCUUUCUCAUUCUUCCCUUUUGAUCAAAAAUCAAAGGUUCCUGACAGGCCCAGGAACCUCAAGAUAUUUUGAGACCUUGAGAAGAGAGAAAUUGACCUAAUUUGCACGAGCACUAUAGAUCCCGUCUGAUGAUAAAUUUUUGGCUCGACUUCCUAGCUUUAAGAGACUUUUAAAGUUAUGAUCUGAAAUCUCCGAUGAAAAAGUUCCAGCCAAGCCAAGUAAAAGGAGUCUAUGUGAUCACUUUUCUUGCUGUGCUUUCUGUAGGUAAUCAGGCCAAGUGAAAUAAAGGCUAAUACUUAUUUGACAAACAAAUUCUUUCUACUAUUAUUUGUAUUUAGUAAAAUCAGAGUGACUGGAGAGAGAAAAAACAUGUUUUAGUAAGACACUUCUUACUAGACUCUAGCUCUGACCAUUGGUUUUGAGUUUUUAUUAUUUGUUUACAAUUUAAACUGAAUCCUGAAUUAUUUCUUGGGUAAAAGCUUGUAAAGAAGAACUGAGUUUUAAUUUUUUAAAUGACAUUUUUAGUUGGAAUCUUUUUUUGUCAUUGCUGAUUUUUGUUGCUAUUGUUCUGGCGUACAUUAUUUUUUUUUUAUUUUAUUUUUUUUUUGAGACAGAGUCUUGCUCUGUUGCCUAGGCUGGAGUGCAAUGGUAUGAUCUCAGCUCAUUGCAACCUCCGCCUCCUGGGUUCAAGUGAUUCUCCUGCCUUAGCCUCCUGAGUAGCUGGGACUACAGGCAUGUGCCACCACACUUGGCUAAUUUUUCUUUUCUUUUUCUUUUUUUUAAUUUUUAGUAGAGACGGGUUUCACCAUGUUAGCCAAGAUGGUCUCGAUCUCCUGACCUCAUGAUCUGCUCACCUUGGCCUUUUUUUUUUAUUUUUAGUAGAGACGGGUUUCACCAUGUUAGCCAAGAUGGUCUCGAUCUCCUGACCUCAUGAUCUGCUCACCUUGGCCUCCCAAAGUGCUGGGAUUACGGGUGUGAGCCACCAUGCCUGGCCACAAAUUCCUUCUUUAAUUAUAAUCCUUGUGUACAUUAUGUUUCUACUAUUCAAAUGGUUUAUGCUAUGUAUCUAUUAUUAUUUUACUUAUUCCAAGAAAAUCAUGGUAUUCCAAAGAUUAAAGAGUAUUUAACAAGCAACAGCAGCUACAUAAAUCAAUGACUUGACUGAAGACUCGUUUCUUUGCCACUUAGUGAUGUCAUCCCAAUUCAGCUUUUGGAUGCUCUUAAAUUUUUUCACUGAAAUGCCUCCUACUUCCCUCUGAUUUGAUACAGUGCUAUUGAAGAAAAAGCCUCUUUGGUGACGAAGGACCUAUUGACACUCAGACUUUGAUCAUUAAUGCUAUCAAAAAAAGGGUUUUUGAUCAAAAGGGAAGAAUGGGAAAGAAAAGAAACUUUUUAUCUGAGGAAUGUGAAUUCCCUUUAAUUAUCAAGUCCAGAGAGAAAUUGAAAGGAAACAGCAGUCACAUUUUACUCCCUGCUUGAGCUAAAUAAUUACAAUUUGAAACCAUUUCCUAAGUGGGCUAUAGACUAACUGGUGCCAAAUCACCAUAAAACGCCAUUAGCUGGACACAAUAACUUACAGCCUUUAGUUCAACAAUGUAUAGCUAAAUACUCACCAAUCUGAAUUCUAUAGACCAGUGAAAAUUUCUGUCAAACAGCUUUGUAUCAGCCCACUCUUUAUCACCUUUUACCUUUAAAAAUAUGCUUGUACCAAAAGCUGAACGGUGCAUUCCCCAAUGCAGCUUGAAAGUAUGACCUAGAAAGCUGUCCUCACCCUUGGUCCAAAUGAACUCUCUAUAUUAAUUUUGCCUCAGUAUUAACUCCAAAGGCAAGUUCACUAUUUAAUUUUUUUAUAUUUGUGUAAUCAUGAUUUGCAAGUGUAUUUACCUAUAAUAGCAUUUAAAAUUAUUUUUCUAAUAUUUCUUUAAUUUGUGUAUGUUUGGUAUAUGCCUGUUUGUGGGUCUUUGUUUACUUGACUGACCUGUCAAAUUUUUAUGCAUUUUACUGGGCUUUAAAAAAAUAAAAACAUUAAGCCUUAUUUAUAAAUUAUUUUUGUCAUUAAUUUCUGAUGUUAUAAUUAUUAUAUCUUUUUUUUCUAUUUUAUUUGAGCUUCUUUUAUUUUU
This 4749-nucleotide long non-coding RNA is filed under the name Callithrix jacchus (white-tufted-ear marmoset). Its description in RNAcentral is "lncRNA (ENSCJAG00000085738.1)". The record is from RNAcentral. Lineage: Eukaryota; Metazoa; Chordata; Mammalia; Primates; Cebidae.